CGGCAUUUCACUUUGUAUUGCUGCUGGAAUAGGUGGACUUCAUAGUUAUACCAGCGAUAAAUAUUGCUGGCUCUCCUCCACUAACAAUCUCGUCUGGAUAUUCAUCUCAUUCGUGGUGUUCAUUGAAGCUCUCAACAUUUUGAUACUCGUCCGAGUCAUAAGGGAGAUGACCACACUUGUACAAUCUACGAGGGAAUACAACCAUCUUCAGCAGAUAAGACUUGGCAUAAGAACAUGCGCGGUGAUGAUUCCACUGUUGGGCUUUACUUGGCUAUUUGGUCUUUUGUUACCAAUGCACAAAGCUUUUGCCUACAUUUUCACCAUCUUUAACUCU
Stylophora pistillata is the source of this 334-nucleotide long non-coding RNA. The record is from RefSeq and is a predicted model, not a curated record. Lineage: Eukaryota; Metazoa; Cnidaria; Anthozoa; Scleractinia; Pocilloporidae.